This 535-nucleotide ribosomal RNA is filed under the name uncultured bacterium. Its description in RNAcentral is "bacterial SSU rRNA". It matches the Rfam family "Bacterial small subunit ribosomal RNA", at positions 397 to 917 of the family's 1533-position model. The record is from RNAcentral.
CCGCGUGAGUGAAGAAGGCCUUCGGGUUGUAAAGCUCUUUCGGCGGGGAAGAAAUUGCACGGGUUAAUACCCUGUGUAGAUGACGGUACCCGAAUAAGAAGCACCGGCUAACUACGUGCCAGCAGCCGCGGUAAUACGUAGGGUGCGAGCGUUAAUCGGAAUUACUGGGCGUAAAGCGUGCGCAGGCGGUUUGGUAAGUCAGAUGUGAAAAUCCCCCGGGGCUCAAACCUGGGAACUGCAUUUGAGACUGCCAGGCUGGAGUUUGGCAGAGGGGGGUGGAAUUCCACGUGUAGCAGUGAAAUGCGUAGAGAUGUGGAGGAACACCGAUGGCGAAGGCAGCCCCCUGGGCCAAUACUGACGCUCAUGCACGAAAGCGUGGGGAGCAAACAGGAUUAGAUACCCUGGUAGUCCACGCCCUAAAACGAUGUCAACUAGGUGUUGGGAGGGUUAAACCUUUUAGUGCCGUAGCUAACGCGUGAAGUUGACCGCCUGGGGAGUACGGCCGCAAGGCUAAAAACUCAAAGGAAUUGACGGG